This 376-nucleotide transfer-messenger RNA is filed under the name Mycoplasma mobile 163K. It matches the Rfam family "transfer-messenger RNA". From Rfam's summary of the family: Bacterial tmRNA, also known as 10Sa RNA or SsrA, is named for its dual tRNA and mRNA-like properties. Lineage: Bacteria; Bacillati; Mycoplasmatota; Mycoplasmoidales; Metamycoplasmataceae. The record is from Rfam by way of RNAcentral. RNAcentral also lists the same sequence under 1 other name.
GGGGGUGUAAUGGAUUUGACAUGCAUAAGGUUUAUUAGACUGCAGUACUAUGGUAGAGUAUAAGACCACUAGGCUUUUUCAAACGGAAAAGAAAAACAAUUAGAAGUUUCUCCUUUAUUAAUGAGUUCUUCACAAUCAAAUCUAGUUUUUGCUUAAUUAAAAAUUAGUCGCUUCUAAGUGGUGUUGCUACAUUUAUAAGUGUUGUUUAGCAAAUAUAGUUUUAUGAUCUAAUUAAAUAAGACCGAAUAAAAAAUUAGUUAAUAUAAAUGUUUUUAGUUAAGUUUCGAUUUUAUAUUAAUAUCAAAAUUUAGCUAAACUGUAGAUGUCUCUUAAAUUUUAUGUGUGGACCCGGGUUCAACUCCCGGCAUCUCCACCA